GGAUGUGGCUCAAGUGGUAGUGCGCUAGCCUGGCAUGCAUGGGGUGCUGGGUUCGAUCCUCAGCACCA
This 68-nucleotide transfer RNA is filed under the name Marmota monax (woodchuck). RNAcentral describes it as "tRNA.Ala". The record is from RNAcentral. Lineage: Eukaryota; Metazoa; Chordata; Mammalia; Rodentia; Sciuridae.